CAUUACUCAGGACCCUGUCUUUUCUGGUGUUUUGCNGUCAUCUGACAUACCACCUUGGAAUGCAAAGAACCACAGAUCUCAGAAAUCCACAGAUCUCAGGGAAUAAAUUCUUCCAAGUUUCAAGCAAGUAGGCCCUUGCAUCAUUCGAAGAGCUUUCUACCCAGCAGCCCUCUCCAGUUACUUGUGACAAUAUGACUUUGAGGGACUUUUGGAAGGCCAGUCAUCUGACAUACCACCUUGGAAUGCAGAGAUCCACAGAUCUCAGGUAAGUGGAAAGAUCUUGACUAAAGCUUCCUAUUCCAUCUGAGCAAAACCUACAUGUUUGGGCUUUCAAUUCUGAGUCAGUCUGCCAUUUUGGAAUUCAGGAUUAAAAAAGCUAUGCAAGGUAGCAAACUCAGCAUGAUAUAGGCUAUGUUCUCCCAUGGAGACCCC
Molecule: long non-coding RNA, 432 nt
Organism: Mus pahari (shrew mouse)
Lineage: Eukaryota; Metazoa; Chordata; Mammalia; Rodentia; Muridae
Exons: 4
Source: RefSeq, a predicted model, not a curated record